UCUUAUCUUGAGCGGUGGAGGGACUGGCCCUAUGAAACCGCGGCAACCUUCAAAUUCUAAAUUUGAAAGGUGCCAAUUCCUGCAAAGUAACACUUUGACAGAUGAGG
Molecule: non-coding RNA, 107 nt
Filed under: Oceanobacillus massiliensis
Lineage: Bacteria; Bacillati; Bacillota; Bacilli; Caryophanales; Bacillaceae
Description: SAM riboswitch (S box leader)
Rfam family: SAM riboswitch aptamer (S box leader)
About the family: The SAM riboswitch is found upstream of a number of genes which code for proteins involved in methionine or cysteine biosynthesis in Gram-positive bacteria. The SAM riboswitch acts at the level of transcription termination control. The predicted structure consists of a complex stem-loop region followed by a single stem loop terminator region.
Source: RNAcentral